This 418-nucleotide unclassified non-coding RNA is filed under the name soil metagenome. Its description in RNAcentral is "partial contains 5.8S ribosomal RNA, internal transcribed spacer 2, and large subunit ribosomal RNA". The stretch from base 1 to 120 matches the Rfam family "5.8S ribosomal RNA", at positions 35 to 154 of the family's 154-position model. The record is from RNAcentral.
GAUGAAGAACGUAGCGAAAUGCGAUAAGUAAUGUGAAUUGCAGAAUUCAGUGAAUCAUCGAAUCUUUGAACGCACCUUGCGCUCCUUGGUAUUCCAAAGAGCAUGCCUGUUUGAGUAUCAUUAAAUUAUCAACUGUACCAAUUUGGUUGCAGAUUGGAUGUGGGAGAUUUUGCAGGCUUUUGAUUUCUCUUUGAGAAAACGGUCAGCUCUCCUGAAAUAUAUUAGCAGUGCCUUUGUUGGUUCAUUAGGUGUGAUAAUUUAUCUACAUCUUCACAUGGUACCUUCAUUUGUGUAAAGGUCAUAUUGCUUCUAAUUGUCUUUUGACAUAAAAAAAAAAAAACAUAUAAUUGUAUGGAAAACUUGAUCUCAAAUCAGGCAGGACUACCCGCUGAACUUAAGCAUAUCAAUAAGCGGAGGA